UGGUGGCGAGUGGACGAACGGUGAAGUAUGUAUACGGUAACGUACCUUUCGAGGUGGGGAAUAACGUAGCGAAAGUUACGCUAAUACCGCAUAUUCUGUGAGCAGGAAAGCAGGGGAUCGCAAGACCUUGCGCUGAUUGAGCGGCCGAUAUCAGAUUAGCUAGUUGGUGAGGUAAAGGCUCACCAAGGCGACGAUCUGUAGCGGGUCUGAGAGGAUGAUCCGCCACACUGGAACUGAGACACGGUCCAGACUCCUACGGGAGGCAGCAGUGGGGAAUUUUGGACAAUGGGCGCAAGCCUGAUCCAGCCAUGCCGCGUGAGUGAAGAAGGCCUUCGGGUUGUAAAGCUCUUUCAGCCGGGAAGAAAACGCAUGGGUUAAUACCCUGUGUGGAUGACGGUACCGGAAUAAGAAGCACCGGCUAACUACGUG
RNAcentral lists this ribosomal RNA (429 nucleotides) under uncultured bacterium. RNAcentral describes it as "bacterial SSU rRNA". It matches the Rfam family "Bacterial small subunit ribosomal RNA", at positions 86 to 507 of the family's 1533-position model. The record is from RNAcentral.